GCUUGGAUGAUGACUUUUCUUUCUUUUGUCGGAUACCCCUUCACUCCACAUUGAGUGAGAUCCUUAUUCUGACAUGC
This is a small nucleolar RNA of Centropristis striata (black sea bass), 77 nucleotides long. RefSeq annotates it as small nucleolar RNA SNORD101. The transcript has a single exon. The record is from RefSeq and is a predicted model, not a curated record. NCBI's taxonomy places the organism in Eukaryota, Metazoa, Chordata, Actinopteri, Perciformes, Serranidae.